This 253-nucleotide ribosomal RNA is filed under the name uncultured bacterium. RNAcentral describes it as "partial 16S ribosomal RNA". It matches the Rfam family "Bacterial small subunit ribosomal RNA", at positions 524 to 776 of the family's 1533-position model. The record is from RNAcentral.
UACGUAGGUGGCGAGCGUUAUUCGGAUUCACUGGGCGUAAAGGGUCCGUAGGGGGUCUGCCAAGUCCGAUGUGAAAGCCCACGGCUCAACUGUGGAACGGCAUUGGAUACUGGCGGGCUGGAGUCUGCGAGGGGUGAGCGGAAUUCCUGGUGUAGCGGUGGAAUGCGUAGAUAUCAGGAAGAACACCGAUGGCGAAGGCGGCUCACUGGCGCAGUACUGACCCUGAGGGACGAAAGCGUGGGUAGCAAACAGG